AGAAUGAACGCUGGCGGCGUGCUUAACACAUGCAAGUCGCACGAGAACUCUUCUGCUUGCAGAAGAUAGUAAAGUGGCGCACGGGUGAGUAACGCGUGGGUAAUCUACCUCUGAAUUGGGGAUAACAUUGUGAAAGCGAUGCUAAUACCGAAUAAUAUCCCGAGAACCUAGGUUUUUGGGAUCAAAGGUGGCCUCUACAUGUAAGCUACUGUUUAGAGAUGAGCCCGCGUACCAUUAGCUUGUUGGUAGGGUAAUGGCCUACCAAGGCAACGAUGGUUAGCUGGUCUGAGAGGAUGAUCAGCCACACUGGAACUGACACACGGUCCAGACUCCUACGGGAGGCAGCAGUGAGGAAUUUUGCGCAAUGGGGGAAACCCUGACGCAGCAACGCCGCGUGAGUGAUGAAGGCUUUCGAGUCGUAAAGCUCUGUCAAGUGAGAAGAACCUGUCCCGCGAUAAUACCGCGGGAUACUGACGGUAUCACUGAAGGAAGCACCGGCUAACUCCGUGCCAGCAGCCGCGGUAAUACGGGGGGUGCAAGCGUUAUUCGGAAUUAUUGGGCGUAAAGGGCGCGUAGGCGGUCUUUUAAGUCAGAUGUGAAAGCCCGGGGCUCAACCCCGGAAGAGCAUUUGAAACUAAUGGACUUGAGUAUGGGAGAGGGAAGUGGAAUUCCUGGUGUAGAGGUGAAAUUCGUAGAUAUCAGGAGGAACACCGGUGGCGAAGGCGACUUCCUGGACCAAUACUGACGCUGAGGCGCGAAGGCGUGGGGAGCAAACAGGAUUAGAUACCCUGGUAGUCCACGCAGUAAACGGUGAACACUAGGUGUAGCGGGUAUUGACCCCUGCUGUGCCGCAGUUAACGCAUUAAGUGUUCCGCCUGGGGAGUACGACCGCAAGGUUAAAACUCAAAGGAAUUGACGGGGGCCCGCACAAGCGG
RNAcentral lists this ribosomal RNA (935 nucleotides) under uncultured bacterium. RNAcentral describes it as "bacterial SSU rRNA". It matches the Rfam family "Bacterial small subunit ribosomal RNA", at positions 26 to 932 of the family's 1533-position model. The record is from RNAcentral.